CGGUUUGUAGUUUAAUCGGCAAAACAUAK
RNAcentral lists this transfer RNA (29 nucleotides) under Laminaria pallida. RNAcentral describes it as "partial tRNA-Ile". The record is from RNAcentral. Lineage: Eukaryota; Phaeophyceae; Laminariales; Laminariaceae.